This 327-nucleotide long non-coding RNA is filed under the name Ananas comosus (pineapple). Its description in RNAcentral is "long non-coding RNA (ACOM_LNC003934)". The record is from RNAcentral. Lineage: Eukaryota; Viridiplantae; Streptophyta; Magnoliopsida; Poales; Bromeliaceae.
ACACUAGUCUAACAACCCAAACACACGUGCCCUCGGCACAGUCUGAUGCAAAAACAGCAAUCCGGAUCCACCGUCAACCUCAACGGCACCCAACAGACCAGAACAGCCUAAAUACUGCUGUAAAAAUAAGCUCGGCAUUUCAGUACGAGCGUAAAUGCAUUCUACCCUAUCCUGAGUAUCCACCGUCCACCACCUGCAGCGAUACCAACAAACUACGGCUCCUAGAGCUAAAUCUGGUAAUUUAAGCAUAUGACAAGGUAGAAUCGCUGGUUUUCUCCUAAGUCAAAUCCAAGUCCAAUAUGUAUUAUUUAUCUAAUUCAUUUCAGC